UACGGAGGGUGCGAGCGUUGUCCGGAAUCACUGGGCGUAAAGGGCGCGUAGGCGGCUGGAGAAGUCGGUGGUGAAAGCCCAGGGCUCAACUCUGGGUCGGCCACCGAGACUCUUCGGCUCGAGUUUGGUAGAGGCAGAUGGAAUUCCGGGUGUAGCGGUGGAAUGCGUAGAGAUCCGGAAGAACACCGGUGGCGAAGGCGGUCUGCUGGGCCAAGACUGACGCUGAGGCGCGACAGCGUGGGGAGCAAACAGG
Molecule: ribosomal RNA, 253 nt
Filed under: uncultured bacterium
Lineage: Bacteria
Description: partial 16S ribosomal RNA
Rfam family: Bacterial small subunit ribosomal RNA
Source: RNAcentral